CAAGACGCUAAAGAAUUUGAUGGUUAAUAUUUGAAAUUUUAAAGCUUAAAUUUUAAUUUAUUUAUAUUUUUAGCUGAAUUUAUUUAUUUUUUAAAAAAAACUAAACCGGCAGCAUGCUGCCUCUCUCUCUCUCUCUCUCUCAAAUGAAAAAAAAAAAUAUAGAAAAACUUUAAAAACCUUCAUUGUGAUUUUAUAUUUUUUUAUUUUAGUACUCUGUGGUUUAAAGUGUAUCAAGUUAGUACCAUAUGGUUUCACACUUUUUCACUUUAGUACCAUAUGGUUUAAAGUGUAUCAAGUUAGUACUCUGUGGUUUUAUUUUUGUAUCAAGUUAGUAUCCUGUGGUUUUAUUUUUCUCUUAAUGAAAUAUUAAACCACAGAGUACUAAUGUGAGAAAGUGCGAAACCACAUGGUACUAACUUGAUACACUUUAAAUCAUAGGGUACUAAAGUGAGAAAGUGCGAAACCACAGGGUACUAACUUGAUACACUUUAAACCACAGGGUACUAAAGUGAAAAAAGUGAACACACAUGAGGGGUAUUUGAAGUUUUCCCAAAAAAUAUCUAUCUUACUUUCGGGGUAAAUUGCACCUUUGAUUCUCAAACUAUUCUUUGCGCCUUAAAUUUUAACUUUUUAUAAUUUCCGACUCAAAUUUUUAAUACUAUUAUAAGUAAAAUUUUACAAGCUAAUUUUGUUGAUUAAUUAUUGACACAUCGCUGAAUAAAAAUGAUGUGAUAUUUUUUUGUUGUUGGUCUAUCAUCAAUCACAACACUACUUUAUCCGCUUUGUUUAUUUAAUUAAAAAAAAAACUUAGCUGAAAAUAUAAAUUAAUUAGAAUUUAAAUUUGAGAUCUCAUGUACCAACCAUCAAGUCCCCUGCUACUUGCGCUAGAGACGGUCGAUAAUUAUAAUACUAUUAUAUCACUUUUAUAUUAGCGAUAUAUCAAUUAAAGUUUCGUCAAUUAAAUUAGGUUAGAGAACUCCAUUGCAAUAAUUUUGAAAGUUCGAGCGAAAUUAAAGUUUGACG
Molecule: long non-coding RNA, 1023 nt
Filed under: Ananas comosus (pineapple)
Lineage: Eukaryota; Viridiplantae; Streptophyta; Magnoliopsida; Poales; Bromeliaceae
Description: long non-coding RNA (ACOM_LNC031818)
Source: RNAcentral